RNAcentral lists this long non-coding RNA (518 nucleotides) under Ananas comosus (pineapple). Its description in RNAcentral is "long non-coding RNA (ACOM_LNC030271)". Lineage: Eukaryota; Viridiplantae; Streptophyta; Magnoliopsida; Poales; Bromeliaceae. The record is from RNAcentral.
CNAGUGUAUAUACAGGGGAUUUAACCAACCUUUCACCUUAGGGUGAACAAUAUUGUUGAGCACUGAAACAUAUGAAGCCCAAUCAAAUCAAUUUGAUUAUAUGCUUUGAUAUCUUGGUUCAGAAUCAAAUUCAAUCAACCGUCGUACUGAAUUAUGUUAUAAAAUUCAUCUUUUACAGCAUUACAAAGGUCUCUUAAUCGAAGGUGCCCUAACACUUUGUAGGGGUAAUUAACAAUAAAUGCUUGCGUUUAUUGGAAGCCAUGAAUCCACAAAAUCUGAUUCUCAUACAUAUUCAAAUAUUAAUCUGAAUCAUGAAUACUACCCUACGGUAAAAAUCAAAAUAAGAUCAACCGUGCGAGGUAUGUCAUUCGUGGUGGCAGACAAUGACCUACACGGUCGGUAUACCUAGAGGGGUAGGAUUGUCGGCUAAUUGCUGACGGUUGGCUAUUGAGCAUAUCAGCAUUGAUCGCCCAACACUCGUAUGCAUUUUACAAACACCAGCGGUCUGAUCCACCACA